Molecule: long non-coding RNA, 1443 nt
Organism: Lagopus muta (rock ptarmigan)
Lineage: Eukaryota; Metazoa; Chordata; Aves; Galliformes; Phasianidae
Exons: 8
Source: RefSeq, a predicted model, not a curated record
CGAGUCACACAUCCUUCCCUUCCCAGCCCCCCUCAUCUCCUGCACAAUGUAUUUUUAUUCUUUCGGAAUAAUCCGACGACUUUGUCGGAGCACAAAUUCACCCUUCCAACAGCGAAAUGGUCUCCCCCAACCCUUUCCUUGCCGCGUGAGAGCCCCGACGGCACCACAGUGUGCAGCCCGCAGCGCUCCGACGGCGGCCGCCUCAACCCCUUGUGAUUAUAUAACAGUUCUCAAGAGGAAGCUGCUAACAAGCCCAUCUGAUAUUUUGUGCCAGCUGUUUCAGUGGAGGCGUGUUGGACUGGAGUGAACUCCGCCUUCUUUGACAAGCAAAGGUUGCUUCGCUUCUGUGGCGCAGUUACUUCAGUUGAUGCAGUACAAUCUGGAAAGUACAUUUACAUGGAAAACCAAAGUAUUGCACUUUGACUACAGUUUUUAUAUCAGUAGAAAGGACAUUGGUAUUGCCAGUAGAAAGAAAAGUGAACUUUGACUGUGAGUGUUGGUCAGAAAAAUGUCAGAGGAAGAGCAUAAGGACAGCAAUCUGCAGUUGGACCAAAGGUUGUUCCAAGACUUUGUAUCUGAUAGCAGUCAGCAGAAUAUCCUUAUGGACAAGUGUAAGAAGCAGGGCAAGUAUAGAAUUAUUCUUUCUGCUGGUAUACUUUCCCAGCUUCUGACAGUCAGCAGUUUUGGGACUCCCUGUGCCGAAGUUGCAUCUUAACCAUUGUUUUUAUGAACCACUGAGUGCGGAAGCAACAAUAGGAACAAUGGAUCACUGUUCAGCAUCAGUGGCAACUGCGCUUAGAAAUAAGUAACAGUGCCACUUCAAAAUGCUUGACAUGGACAACAGAAAGAGAAGAGCCAGGAAAUUAUAGCAGCACUAAAGCCACACCCAUGGCCAGAGGCAACAUCUCGCAGCUCCUCCAAGUUGUGAACUCCUUGGGAGCUGAGAAUCCCUACCAUGCAGAGAGUGAAGCAUUUGAAAAGUGACAGAGCCUGAAGAAAAAGAGAAUUCAAAAUCUGGUGCUGAAUUUUCUCCUGGACCAGUCUGUUCUUCUGUAUCCAUGAACAAGUAGGUUCCUGCAGGAGUAGUUUAGAGGCCUCACCAUUAGCCAGUGUCUCUGCACGGUGAAGCGACUCGUGCUAAGAUCUUACCUAUGACCAACUCCUGUGUGAAGAGAUUAAGGAUCCUGACCUGUUUCUAGAACUCUUAUUAAAAACAAGAAUUGCAAGAAAGGCACUAGUGAUUCCUGCCUUCUGUACACAGUUCUACUGCAGUGCAUGUCUUCCUCCACAUGAGGACAAUCUUCUAAGAAUGGUGGUGAAACAUAAAGAAUUGUAACCUGUUUCAGAGAUUUUCUCUAUGAUGAACUGUUAAAAGAGGUGAGGUACCCAGAAAUAAAGUGGGAAAAAAGGAAGCAACUGACCAAUAAUCUACCUAGAAAGUAA